Molecule: ribosomal RNA, 434 nt
Filed under: uncultured bacterium
Lineage: Bacteria
Description: bacterial SSU rRNA
Rfam family: Bacterial small subunit ribosomal RNA
Source: RNAcentral
UACGGGAGGCAGCAGUGGGGAAUAUUGGACAAUGGGCGAAAGCCUGAUCCAGCCAUGCCGCAUGAGUGAAGAAGGCCUUCGGGUUUGUAAAGCUCUUUUAGUGAGAAAGAUAAUGACGGUACUCACAGAAGAAGUCCUGGCUAACUCCGUGCCAGCAGCCGCGGUAAUACGGAGAGGGCUAGCGUUAUUCGGAAUUAUUGGACGUAAAGAGCGCGUAGGCUGAUUAGUAAGUUAAAAGUGAAAUCCCAAAGCUUAACUUUGGAAUUGCUUUUUAAAACUGCUAGUCUAGAGAUUUGAAAGAGGAUAGAGGAAUUCCUAGUGUAGAGGUGAAAUUCGUAAAUAUUAGGAGGAACACCAGUGGCGAAGGCGUCUAUCUGGUUCAAAUCUGACGCUGAGGCGCGAAGGGCGUGGGGAGCAAACAGGGAUUAGAUACC